GUCGUAACAAGGUCUCCGUUGGUGAACCAGCGGAGGGAUCAUUACCGAGUUUUCAACUCCCUAACCCUUAUGUGAACCUACCUAUUGUUGCUUCGGCGGACUCGCCCCAGCCGGACGCGGACUGGACCAGCGGCCGCCGGGGACCCUCAAACUCUUGUAUUAUCAGCAUCUUCUGAAUACGCCGCAAGGCAAAACAAAUAAAUCAAAACUUUCAACAACGGAUCUCUUGGCUCUGGCAUCGAUGAAGAACGCAGCGAAACGCGAUAAGUAAUGUGAAUUGCAGAAUCCAGUGAAUCAUCGAAUCUUUGAACGCACAUUGCGCCCGCCAGCAUUCUGGCGGGCAUGCCUGUUCGAGCGUCAUUUCAACCCUCGACCUCCCUUUGGGGAAGUCGGCGUUGGGGACCGGCAGCACACCGCCGGCCCUGAAAUGGAGUGGCGGCCCGUCCGCGGCGACCUCUGCGUAGUAAUCCAACUCGCACCGGAACCCCGACGUGGCCACGCCGUAAAACACCCAACUUCUGAACGUUGACCUCGAAUCAGGUAGGACUACCCGCUGAACUUAAGCAUAUCA
This 571-nucleotide ribosomal RNA is filed under the name Beauveria bassiana. Its description in RNAcentral is "eukaryotic LSU rRNA". The stretch from base 207 to 360 matches the Rfam family "5.8S ribosomal RNA". The record is from RNAcentral. Lineage: Eukaryota; Fungi; Ascomycota; Sordariomycetes; Hypocreales; Cordycipitaceae.